UGAGAUCAAGAGCUACGACUUUCAUGUUGAGGCCAAAACCCAGUUCGGAGCGCAAGUGUGUCAAAGAAUUGCGUUUAUGUUCCAGACGAAUUUAAUUUCAGCACAACUUUAUAUUUUUCGGCCCAAUUGUUUUAAGGCCCGUUCCAUGUAUUAUUUAAACCGAAAAAAGGCAGCUAGGGUGGCUCAUUCACUGUUCACGGAAAUUAGAAAACCCUAGAGCAGCCACCAUUUAUAUGGAGAACUAAAUCUUUCUUUCAAUUCGUUGGUGCAAGGAACUCGUUUUAAAUUCUUGAGGUCUGUUUUAAUAGCAAUAUUCGUUUUAUAUGUAUGUUCUGN
RNAcentral lists this long non-coding RNA (336 nucleotides) under Trifolium pratense (red clover). RNAcentral describes it as "long non-coding RNA (TPRA_LNC010724)". Lineage: Eukaryota; Viridiplantae; Streptophyta; Magnoliopsida; Fabales; Fabaceae. The record is from RNAcentral.